GCUUCCGUCAAUUUGGGGAGUAGCCGGCGUUCUUGCUGAUUAAUAUUCAGUUUUUGAACGCGCUCGUGUCAACAUACUCGUUCCUAGCAUGGAACGUGGUGCGAGCAGCCCGCUUGCUGAUUAUCAGCAUUUAAGCGCGGACAGGCGAGACCAUAGACACGUAGCUCCGUCGUAUGGUUGGGGGUGGGCUGCGUGUAUAUGGAACACCCGGCCGAG
This 216-nucleotide small RNA is filed under the name Hafnia alvei. RNAcentral's name for it is "Manganese sequence". It matches the Rfam family "Manganese Mn2+ riboswitch aptamer (yybP-ykoY)". From Rfam's summary of the family: This RNA was originally discovered in E. coli during a large scale screen and was named SraF. The family was later found to exist upstream of related families of protein genes in many bacteria, including the the yybP and ykoK genes in B. subtilis. Lineage: Bacteria; Pseudomonadati; Pseudomonadota; Gammaproteobacteria; Enterobacterales; Hafniaceae. The record is from RNAcentral.